CGGCAACAGCUCAAAUUUGAAAUCUGGCCCCCAGGGCCCGAGUUGUAAUUUGCAGAGGAUGCUUUUGGUGAGGCACCUACCGAGUCCCCUGGAAUGGGGCGCCACAGAGGGUGAGAGCCCCGUAUGGUAGGACGCCGAACCUCUGUAAAGCUCCUUCGAC
This 160-nucleotide ribosomal RNA is filed under the name Pyricularia grisea. RNAcentral describes it as "partial large subunit ribosomal RNA". It matches the Rfam family "Eukaryotic large subunit ribosomal RNA", at positions 99 to 261 of the family's 3401-position model. The record is from RNAcentral. Lineage: Eukaryota; Fungi; Ascomycota; Sordariomycetes; Magnaporthales; Pyriculariaceae.